This is a non-coding RNA of Artomyces pyxidatus, 96 nucleotides long. NCBI's taxonomy places the organism in Eukaryota, Fungi, Basidiomycota, Agaricomycetes, Russulales, Auriscalpiaceae. The record is from the annotation of a GenBank genome assembly.
ACACCGGUGGUGAAACGGUAUCAUGCUUGCCUUCCAUAAGGAUUUGCUCUCCCUGUAGCUCAGCAAGCGGCACGGGUUCGACUCCCGUCCGGUGUA